AGGAAUAUGACUUAGUGGUAUAAUACUUGCCUAGCAUGCAUGAAGCCCUGGGUUUGAUUCCUCAGUAUUCAUA
This 73-nucleotide transfer RNA is filed under the name Dipodomys ordii (Ord's kangaroo rat). It matches the Rfam family "tRNA". Rfam says of the family: Transfer RNA (tRNA) molecules are approximately 80 nucleotides in length. Their secondary structure includes four short double-helical elements and three loops (D, anti-codon, and T loops). The record is from Rfam by way of RNAcentral. Lineage: Eukaryota; Metazoa; Chordata; Mammalia; Rodentia; Heteromyidae.